GACGAACGCUGGCGGCGUGCCUAAUACAUGCAAGUUGAGCGCUGAAGGUUGGUACUUGUACCGACUGGAUGAGCAGCGAACGGGUGAGUAACGCGUGGGGAAUCUGCCUUUGAGCGGGGGACAACAUUUGGAAACGAAUGCUAAUACCGCAUAAAAACUUUAAACACAAGUUUUAAGUUUGAAAGAUGCAAUUGCAUCACUCAAAGAUGAUCCCGCGUUGUAUUAGCUAGUUGGUGAGGUAAAGGCUCACCAAGGCGAUGAUACAUAGCCGACCUGAGAGGGUGAUCGGCCACAAUGGGACUGAGACACGGCCCAAACUCCUACGGGAGGCAGCAGUAGGGAAUCUUCGGCAAUGGACGAAAGUCUGACCGAGCAACGCCGCGUGAGUGAAGAAGGUUUUCGGAUCAUAAAACUCUGUUGGUAGAGAAGAACGUUGGUGAGAGUGGAAAGCUCAUCAAGUGACGGUAACUACCCAGAAAGGGACGGCUAACUACGUG
This 497-nucleotide ribosomal RNA is filed under the name uncultured bacterium. RNAcentral's name for it is "partial 16S ribosomal RNA". It matches the Rfam family "Bacterial small subunit ribosomal RNA", at positions 28 to 507 of the family's 1533-position model. The record is from RNAcentral.